UGUGUGUGUGUGUGUGUGUGUGUGUGUGUGUGUCCAUGCGCACGCACACAUGCACGUGCACACACA
RNAcentral lists this microRNA precursor (66 nucleotides) under Marmota monax (woodchuck). Lineage: Eukaryota; Metazoa; Chordata; Mammalia; Rodentia; Sciuridae. The record is from RNAcentral.